Molecule: long non-coding RNA, 957 nt
Filed under: Lepeophtheirus salmonis (salmon louse)
Lineage: Eukaryota; Metazoa; Arthropoda; Copepoda; Siphonostomatoida; Caligidae
Description: uncharacterized LOC121129798
Source: RNAcentral
UCCGAAAUAUCCCUCCGUAAAAGUUUUACCAAAAGCCGGUUCAGUUAUAUAAUCUCGGAUCUUUUUGGAUAAUACAAUUUUACUUAUACCGUUUCUGGUUACUUCGGAUCCGACUCAAAGAUCCUUCCUAUUCCUAUCCCAAACAAACCCUUAUUCUUACUCUCCUUCUUUCAAAAUCACAUACACUACAUCAUUUAUCUUAUCUAGGGUACACAUAUUAUUAUUUUCAAUUUUUCAAAAGUAAAAUUUCAAGGAGAGGUUGGGUAUCCUGUAUAAGUGGGCCCAUACGUCAUACUUUCUCUUUCUAUCUCGAUAUUGGAGACAACGACAGAGGAUAGUUUAAAUGCAACUCUCACAACCUUUUAAUAAUAAGGAAAUACAUUUGCUACGCGAAGUGAAGAGAAGAAUAUAAUUGGCAGAGGAAGAAAAGACCCGAAGUGAAGCGGAAGGAUCUCGACUUUUCCGAGUUAUUCGUUUAAUCAGCACUUCGAAGGUUCAUGAAAGUAGAUGGAAGGUCUCAUUGUGUGGAAGAAGUUGUGAGUUUGGAUCUUAUGGAGUAUUUGGAGGAGAGGGGAGGGGUAGUUCUCUCGGAGUCCAUCCGUUGACUGAGAGAGGAGGCCGGAGGAGAUCAUAUCUAAUUAUGAAUACAUUGCAUGUGCAAAUUCGUACUGGCGUUUUUCUUCUUGGACAUCGAUGAACUCGGAAAGGAGUGAAUUCAAGGCAUAAUUUAAAUAUUUAUUAAUAAAUAAUCAUGGUUCUUAUUGAAAAUUAACUAUUUGUUACCUAAUAAUAAGGCUUAAUAUCACUAUUUAAUAUUACAUUAAUUAUCACUUGGUUUUGUGAUGAUUUUAUCGAUCCCUAAUUCUUGGAAUAAGUUUACAGGUAGGAUUAUACAAUCAUAGUAGUUUUUAUUGUAAUAUUAGAAUAAUAGUAAAUAAGCAAUAAUUAAAAAAUAAA